CUGUUGCCUCGGCGGGAUCUCUGCCCCGGGUGCGUCGCAGCCCCGGACCAAGGCGCCCGCCGGAGGACCAACCAAAACUCUUAUUGUAUACCCCCUCGCGGGUUUUUUUUAUAAUCUGAGCCUUCUCGGCGCCUCUCGUAGGCGUUUCGAAAAUGAAUCAAAACUUUCAACAACGGAUCUCUUGGUUCUGGCAUCGAUGAAGAACGCAGCGAAAUGCGAUAAGUAAUGUGAAUUGCAGAAUUCAGUGAAUCAUCGAAUCUUUGAACGCACAUUGCGCCCGCCAGUAUUCUGGCGGGCAUGCCUGUCCGAGCGUCAUUUCAACCCUCGAACCCCUCCGGGGGGUCGGCGUUGGGGAUCGGCCCUGCCUUGGCGGUGGCCGUCUCCGAAAUACAGUGGCGGUCUCGCCGCAGCCUCUCCUGCGCAGUAGUUUGCACACUCGCAUCGGGAGCGCGGCGCGUCCACAGCCGUUAAACACCCAACUUCUGAAAUGUUGACCUCGGAUCAGGUAGGAAUACCCGCUGAACUUAAGCAUAUCAAUAAGCGGAGGAAAAGAAACCAACAGGGAUUGCCCCAGUAACGGCGAGUGAAGCGGCAACAGCUCAAAUUUGAAAUCUGGUCCCUAGGGCCCGAGUUGUAAUUUGUAGAGGAUGCUUUUGGUGAGGUGCCGCCCGAGUUCCCUGGAACGGGACGCCACAGAGGGUGAGAGCCCCGUCUGGCUGGCCGCCGAGCCUCUGUAAAGCUCCUUCGACGAGUCGAGUAGUUUGGGAAUGCUGCUCAAAAUGGGAGGUAUAUGUCUUCUAAAGCUAAAUAUUGGCCAGAGACCGAUAGCGCACAAGUAGAGUGAUCGAAAGAUGAAAAGCACCUUGAAAAGAGGGUUAAAUAGUACGUGAAAUUGUUGAAAGGGAAGCGCUUGUGACCAGACUUGGGCGCGGCGGAUCAUCCGGGGUUCUCUCCGGUGCACUUCGCCGCGUCUAGGCCAGCAUCAGUUCGUCGCGGGGGAAAAAGGCUUCGGGAACGUGGCUCCUCCGGGAGUGUUAUAGCCCGUUGCAUAAUACCCUGCGGU
RNAcentral lists this ribosomal RNA (1063 nucleotides) under Trichoderma harzianum. RNAcentral describes it as "eukaryotic LSU rRNA". The stretch from base 492 to 1063 matches the Rfam family "Eukaryotic large subunit ribosomal RNA", at positions 1 to 582 of the family's 3401-position model. The record is from RNAcentral. Lineage: Eukaryota; Fungi; Ascomycota; Sordariomycetes; Hypocreales; Hypocreaceae.